GAUGAACGCUGGCGGCGUGCCUAAUACAUGCAAGUCGAGCGAACGGACGAGAAGCUUGCUUCUCUGAUGUUAGCGGCGGACGGGUGAGUAACACGUGGAUAACCUACCUAUAAGACUGGGAUAACUUCGGGAAACCGGAGCUAAUACCGGAUGAUAUUUUGAACCGCAUGGUUCAAAAGUGAAAGACGGUCUUGCUGUCACUUAUAGAUGGAUCCGCGCUGCAUUAGCUAGUUGGUAAGGUAACGGCUUACCAAGGCAACGAUGCAUCGCCGACCUGAGAGGGUGAUCGGCCACACUGGAACUGAGACACGGUCCAGACUCCUACGGGAGGCAGCAGUAGGGAAUCUUCCGCAAUGGGCGAAAGCCUGACGGAGCAACGCCGCGUGAGUGAUGAAGGUCUUCGGAUCGUAAAACUCUGUUAUUAGGGAAGAACAUAUGUGUAAGUAACUGUGCACAUCUUGACGGUACCUAAUCAGAAAGCCACGGCUAACUACGUG
RNAcentral lists this ribosomal RNA (497 nucleotides) under uncultured bacterium. RNAcentral describes it as "partial 16S ribosomal RNA". It matches the Rfam family "Bacterial small subunit ribosomal RNA", at positions 28 to 507 of the family's 1533-position model. The record is from RNAcentral.